Molecule: small nucleolar RNA, 86 nt
Organism: Lepisosteus oculatus (spotted gar)
Lineage: Eukaryota; Metazoa; Chordata; Actinopteri; Semionotiformes; Lepisosteidae
Source: Ensembl
UGCAGGUGAUGGUCUUUCUCACGAUGGUCUUCUGAGCCUGUGUGGCCCUGAGGACACCUGCCUCAUGGCAAUACUGAUGCAGCCCA